This 1848-nucleotide ribosomal RNA is filed under the name Pyropterus nigroruber. RNAcentral's name for it is "SSU rRNA". It matches the Rfam family "Eukaryotic small subunit ribosomal RNA". The record is from RNAcentral. Lineage: Eukaryota; Metazoa; Arthropoda; Insecta; Coleoptera; Lycidae.
UUGUCUCAAAGAUUAAGCCAUGCAUGUCUCAGUACAAGCCAAAUUAAGGUGAAACCGCGAAAGGCUCAUUAAAUCGGUUAUGGUUCCUUAGAUCGUACCAACAUUUACUUGGAUAACUGUGGUAAUUCUAGAGCUAAUACAUGCAAACAGAGCUCCGACCGGAGACGGAAGGAGCGCUUUUAUUAGAUCAAAACCAAUCGGCGGCGAGUUCCUCGCGGGCUCGACGUCGUUUUAAUUGACGAAUCUGAAUAACUUUCUGCUGAUCGCACGGUCUCGCACCGGCGACGCAUCUUUCAAAUGUCUGCCUUAUCAACUGUCGAUGGUAGGUUCUGUGCCUACCAUGGUUGUAACGGGUAACGGGGAAUCAGGGUUCGAUUCCGGAGAGGGAGCCUGAGAAACGGCUACCACAUCCAAGGAAGGCAGCAGGCGCGCAAAUUACCCACUCCCGGCACGGGGAGGUAGUGACGAAAAAUAACGAUACGGGACUCAUCCGAGGCCCCGUAAUCGGAAUGAGAACAAUUUAAAUCCUUUAACGAGGAUCAAUUGGAGGGCAAGUCUGGUGCCAGCAGCCGCGGUAAUUCCAGCUCCAAUAGCGUAUAUUAAAGUUGUUGCGGUUAAAAAGCUCGUAGUCGAAUCUGUGUCCCGUGCCGCCGGUUCGCCGCUCGCGGUGUUCAACUGGCGUGUUCGCGGGACGUCCUGCCGGUGGGCUUAGCUCGUGAGGGCGGCCCAAUCAUAAUCCCGCCGCGGUGCUCUUCACCGAGUGUCGAGGCGGGCCGGCACGUUUACUUUGAACAAAUUAGAGUGCUUAAAGCAGGCUAAAACUUCGCCUGAAUACUUCGUGCAUGGAAUAAUGGAAUAGGACCUCGGUUCUAUUUUGUUGGUUUUCGGAACCCCGAGGUAAUGAUUAAUAGGAACGGAUGGGGGCAUUCGUAUUGCGACGUUAGAGGUGAAAUUCUUGGAUCGUCGCAAGACGGACAGAAGCGAAAGCAUUUGCCAAAAACGUUUUCAUUGAUCAAGAACGAAAGUUAGAGGUUCGAAGGCGAUCAGAUACCGCCCUAGUUCUAACCAUAAACGAUGCCAGCUAGCGAUCCGCCGACGUUCCUCCGAUGACUCGGCGGGCAGCUUCCGGGAAACCAAAGCUUUUGGGUUCCGGGGGGAGUAUGGUUGCAAAGCUGAAACUUAAAGGAAUUGACGGAAGGGCACCACCAGGAGUGGAGCCUGCGGCUUAAUUUGACUCAACACGGGAAACCUCACCAGGCCCGGACACCGGAAGGAUUGACAGAUUGAGAGCUCUUUCUUGAUUCGGUGGGUGGUGGUGCAUGGCCGUUCUUAGUUGGUGGAGCGAUUUGUCUGGUUAAUUCCGAUAACGAACGAGACUCUGGCCUGCUAACUAGGCGUACCUCCGACAUCUCAAGGCCCGCCGGCUUGGUGCGUUCGCGCGCCUUGUCGCGUGCGGUUUUACUGUCGGCGUACAAACAAUUCUUCUUAGAGGGACAGGCGGCUUUUAGCCGCACGAGAUAGAGCAAUAACAGGUCUGUGAUGCCCUUAGAUGUUCUGGGCCGCACGCGCGCUACACUGAAGGAAUCAGCGUGUCCUCCCUGGCCGAGCGGCCCGGGUAACCCGCUGAACCUCCUUCGUGCUAGGGAUUGGGGCUUGCAAUUGUUCCCCAUGAACGAGGAAUUCCCAGUAAGCGCGAGUCAUAAGCUCGCGUUGAUUACGUCCCUGCCCUUUGUACACACCGCCCGUCGCUACUACCGAUUGAAUGAUUUAGUGAGGUCUUCGGACCGGCACGCGGUGGCAUUUCGAUGUCGCCGAUGCUGCUGGAAAGAUGACCAAACUUGAUCAUUU